This 515-nucleotide ribosomal RNA is filed under the name uncultured bacterium. Its description in RNAcentral is "partial 16S ribosomal RNA". It matches the Rfam family "Bacterial small subunit ribosomal RNA", at positions 28 to 523 of the family's 1533-position model. The record is from RNAcentral.
GACGAACGCUGGCGGCGUGCCUAAUACAUGCAAGUCGAGCGAAUGGAUUAAGAGCUUGCUCUUAUGAAGUUAGCGGCGGACGGGUGAGUAACACGUGGGUAACCUGCCCAUAAGACUGGGAUAACUCCGGGAAACCGGGGCUAAUACCGGAUAACAUUUUGAACCGCAUGGCUCGAAAUUGAAAGGCGGCUUCGGCUGUCACUUAUGGAUGGACCCGCGUCGCAUUAGCUGGUUGGUGAGGUAACGGCUCACCAAGGCAACGAUGCGUAGCCGACCUGAGAGGGUGAUCGGCCACACUGGGACGGAGACACGGCCCAGUCUCCUACGGGAGGCAGCAGUAGGGAAUCUUCCGCAAUGGACGAAAGUCUGUCGGAGCAACGCCGCGUGAGUGAUGAAGGCUUUCGGGUCGUAAAACUCUGUUGUUAGGGAAGAACAAGUGCUAGUUGAAUAAGCUGGCACCUUGACGGUACCUAACCAGAAAGCCACGGCUAACUACGUGCCAGCCGCCGCGGUAA